UGCAUUCACUACUGUAAGUCGCUCUGGAUAAGAGUGUCUGCUAAAUGACCUAAA
This is a non-coding RNA of Salmo salar (Atlantic salmon), 54 nucleotides long. The record is from Rfam. Lineage: Eukaryota; Metazoa; Chordata; Actinopteri; Salmoniformes; Salmonidae.